GAUGAACGCUGGCGGCGUGCCUAAUACAUGCAAGUCGAGCGAACAGACGAGGAGCUUGCUCCUCUGACGUUAGCGGCGGGCGGGUGAGUAACACGUGGAUAACCUACCUAUAAGACUGGGAUAACUUCGGGAAACCGGAGCUAAUACCGGAUAAUAUAUUGAACCGCAUGGUUCAAUAGUGAAAGACGGUUUUGCUGUCACUUAUAGAUGGAUCCGUGGUGGAUUGGUUAGUUGGUAAGGUAACGGCUUACCAAGGCAACCAUGCGUAGCCGACCGGCGAGCGGGUACGGCGCCACUGGAAGUGAGCCACGGCCCAGACACCUACGGACGGCAGCGGUACGUAAUGUUCGGCGAUGGGGGGAAUACUGACGGAUCGGCGCCGCGUGGAUGCAGAAGCUCCUCGGGUCGUAAAACGCUGUUAUUGGUGAAGAACAAAUUUGUAAGUAACUAUGCACGUCUUGACGGUACCUAAUCAGAAAGCAACGGCUAACUACGUG
RNAcentral lists this ribosomal RNA (497 nucleotides) under uncultured bacterium. Its description in RNAcentral is "partial 16S ribosomal RNA". It matches the Rfam family "Bacterial small subunit ribosomal RNA", at positions 28 to 507 of the family's 1533-position model. The record is from RNAcentral.